RNAcentral lists this ribosomal RNA (482 nucleotides) under uncultured bacterium. RNAcentral's name for it is "partial 16S ribosomal RNA". It matches the Rfam family "Bacterial small subunit ribosomal RNA", at positions 30 to 507 of the family's 1533-position model. The record is from RNAcentral.
AUUGAACGCUGGCGGCAUGCUUUACACAUGCAAGUCGAACGGUAACAGGCCGCAAGGUGCUGACGAGUGGCGAACGGGUGAGUAAUGCAUCGGAACGUGCCCAGUCGUGGGGGAUAACUACUCGAAAGAGUAGCUAAUACCGCAUACGAUCUAUGGAUGAAAGCGGGGGACCGUAAGGCCUCGCGCGAUUGGAGCGGCCGAUGUCAGAUUAGGUAGUUGGUGGGGUAAAGGCUCACCAAGCCAACGAUCUGUAGCUGGUCUGAGAGGACGACCAGCCACACUGGGACUGCGACACGGCCCAGACUCCUACGGGAGGCAGCAGUGGGGAAUUUUGGACAAUGGGCGCAAGCCUGAUCCAGCAAUGCCGCGUGCAGGAAGAAGGCCUUCGGGUUGUAAACUGCUUUUGUACGGAACGAAACGGCUCUGGUUAAUACCCGGGGCUAAUGACGGUACCGUAAGAAUAAGCACCGGCUAACUACGUG